This is a non-coding RNA of Danio rerio (zebrafish), 425 nucleotides long. The record is from Ensembl. NCBI's taxonomy places the organism in Eukaryota, Metazoa, Chordata, Actinopteri, Cypriniformes, Danionidae.
ACAGGGCAGCACGGUGGCGCAGAGGGUAGCACGUUUGCCUCACAGCAAGAAGGUCUCUGCUUCGAGCUUCGGCUGGAUUGGUGUACGCUGAUGGUCUGCUGAGAAUUCUGCUGAGUUGAAGGGAUCCUCCUGUCAGACAACCUCUCCAAAGUACAAUAGGACUAGGUUCUUACUACAAGGAUUAGUUUUGGCUACUGCAGUCCCGGUUUGGGCCAGCCUCAUUUGUGAAGACUAAAGAUGAAGACAACAUACAAGAAAAAUUUAGAGGAUGGCGACACUUUUUAUUCCACCUAAAUAUUCCCUUUUAUGUGUAAGCAACAUUCCACAAGACAAAACAAAAGUAAAUGACAGGUUAUUUCUUUUAAUUUUGUCUGUUUUCUUGGAACAUUGUACACAAUUUACAACCAGUUAUAUAUAUAUAUAUA